GGUGUGGUGGCAAGGACGGGAAGAUCAUUCUUGUCAAGUGCCCGUGUCAUAAAAGUAUUUGGGGUUUUGGAGAGUGGUCAAUCAAGUACCAAAUAUUGUUGUUGGGCAAGUCAGCUGGUAUUUUUCUCUCUUAGGAGUUUUGUUAAGAUGUAUGAUCCAUUGAAUCCAUUGAUUAUGAUUUAUUUGAUUGGGCUUCUGUGUGUUUUGAUGUUUUCUUAGGCUUGGUUUUGUGUUUGAUUUCUGGAAAUUGGGAAAAGCAAAGAAGAGAAAGAUCAAGGAUGAUUUUCAUUUCUUUUAUGUAUUCAGUGAAUAAUUUCUUGAAUUUGACAUUAGCAUGGUCGCUAAUUAUUUGGUGUUUGUUUGUUAAGGAAAGUUUGAAAAGUUGGGAUCUCCAUGGGAAGUUAGGCUAUAUGUAUUACUUGUUAGUAAUUAUAUGUUCAAUAUUAGAAUGCUACUAAUGAAUGUAGUUCAUCCACCUUUUCGAAA
Long non-coding RNA from Dioscorea cayenensis subsp. rotundata (Guinea yam), 486 nucleotides. RefSeq lists it as uncharacterized. The record is from RefSeq and is a predicted model, not a curated record. Lineage: Eukaryota; Viridiplantae; Streptophyta; Magnoliopsida; Dioscoreales; Dioscoreaceae. The transcript has 2 exons.